GGCACAGAAGCCGAAGUGGUCUAGGCGCCUGGCUGAAAACCAGGAGAAUGCGGUUCGAUUCCGCGCUGUGCCA
RNAcentral lists this transfer RNA (73 nucleotides) under Pseudomonadota bacterium. RNAcentral describes it as "Proteobacteria bacterium (marine metagenome) tRNA-Phe". It matches the Rfam family "tRNA". Rfam says of the family: Transfer RNA (tRNA) molecules are approximately 80 nucleotides in length. Their secondary structure includes four short double-helical elements and three loops (D, anti-codon, and T loops). The record is from RNAcentral. Lineage: Bacteria; Pseudomonadati; Pseudomonadota.